This 520-nucleotide ribosomal RNA is filed under the name uncultured bacterium. Its description in RNAcentral is "partial 16S ribosomal RNA". It matches the Rfam family "Bacterial small subunit ribosomal RNA", at positions 899 to 1397 of the family's 1533-position model. The record is from RNAcentral.
ACUCAAAUGAAUUGACGGGGACUUGCACAAGCAGUGGAUUAUGAGGUUCAAUUCGAUGACAAACGAAGAACCUUACCAAGAUUAGAAAUUCAAUCGAAGACAUUGGGAAACCUUUGUCGUCUCACAAGGACGGUUGGACAGGUGAUGCAUGGCCGUCGUCAGUUCGUGGUUUGAAUUGUUCCCUUAAGUGGGGUAACGAACGCAACCCUUGUCGUGUGUUAUAAGUAUCACGCGAGACUACCCCUCACCGAGAAAAUCAUUUUAAAUGGUUUUUUGGGUGAGGGGAGGAAGGCGAGGAUGACGCCAGGUCAGCAUGUCCCUCUGAUAUCUUGGGCUACACUCAUAAUACAAUCGCACAUACAACGCGACGCAAUAGCGCAAGCUGGAGCAAAUCGUAAUAAAGUGUGCGCCAGUUCGGAUUGGGGUCUGCAACUCGACCCCAUGAAGCCGGAAUUGCUAGUAAUCGCGGGUCAGCUAUACCGCGGUGAAUACGUUCUCAAGUCUUGUACACACCGCCCGU